This is a non-coding RNA of Homo sapiens (human), 117 nucleotides long. It matches the Rfam family "Metazoan signal recognition particle RNA". From Rfam's summary of the family: The signal recognition particle (SRP) is a universally conserved ribonucleoprotein. It is involved in the co-translational targeting of proteins to membranes. The eukaryotic SRP consists of a 300-nucleotide 7S RNA and six proteins: SRPs 72, 68, 54, 19, 14, and 9. NCBI's taxonomy places the organism in Eukaryota, Metazoa, Chordata, Mammalia, Primates, Hominidae. The record is from Rfam.
GCUGGGCGUGGUGGCUCACGCCUGUAAUCCCAGCACUUUGGGAGGCCGAGGUGGGUGGAUCACCUGAGGUCAGGAGUUUGAGACCAGCCUGACCAACAUGGUGAAACCCUGUCUCUA